GCCGGCUGAGGAGGAUGGGGGCCACCCGCCCGUUCCUCGCGUGAGGAGGCCGAGGGGCGCGCCACCCCAUCCCGGGGCGGCCGCCCCCCGGGGCGCCGCCAUCCCCGCCCGGCCCUGCGGUCGUGGCUGGGGAUGCGGAGCCGGGGACCGCCGGUGGAGCUGCGCGGGGUGAGAGGCGCGGGGAGGGGCGGCCGCUGGCUGCCCUCGGCCGCGGCCUCCGCCGGCGGGCCCCGCUCAACCCGGCCCUCCUUGCGCCCUGACAUCUGUGGUGACGGGUGAACCUGUCGCCUCUCCUGCACAGCCGAAGCCCAGGGGACGCUCCUGUCCUUUGAAAAGGUUUUUGGGUUUUUUUUUUUUUUUUUUUUCCCGCACCCCGGUUCCGGCGGAGGCCCUCCGCCAGCCAUGGUCCCCAGGAGGCCCCCGGGGUCUGCAGGGACUGCCUCCCAGCCCGGCCUCCCCGCCCCGCGCUCAGCAUCCCGCGGGCAGCCUGCGUGAAGCGGCCUCCCGCAGCCCCCGGCCCCUCCCCCAUGGAGGAGGAGGAGGGGGCGGCGGCCAGAGAGUGGGGCGCGACCCCCGCGGGGCCGGUGUGGACCGCCGUCUUCGACUACGAGGCGGUGGGCGACGAGGAGCUGACCCUGCGGAGAGGCGACCGCGUCCAGGUGCUUUCCCAGGACUGUGCGGUGUCCGGAGAUGAGGGCUGGUGGACGGGGCAGCUGCCGAGCGGCCGUGUGGGCGUCUUCCCCAGCAACUACGUGGCCCCCGCCGCACCCGCCGCACCCACAGGCCUCCAGCUGCCCCAGGAGAUCCCCUUCCACGAGCUGCAGUUGGAGGAGAUCAUCGGUGUGGGGGGCUUUGGCAAGGUCUAUCGGGCCCUAUGGCGCGGCGAGGAAGUAGCGGUCAAGGCCGCCCGGCUGGACCCUGAGCGGGACCCGGCAGUGACAGCAGAGCAGGUGCGCCAGGAGGCCCGGCUCUUCGGAGCCCUUCAGCACCCCAACAUCAUUGCCCUGAGGGGCGCCUGCCUCAGCCCCCCAAACCUCUGCCUGGUGAUGGAGUAUGCUCGGGGAGGUGCAUUGAGCAGGGUGCUGGCAGGUCGCCGCGUGCCUCCUCAUGUGCUGGUCAACUGGGCCGUGCAGGUGGCUCGGGGCAUGAACUAUCUUCACAAUGAUGCCCCUGUGCCCAUCAUUCACCGGGACCUCAAGUCCAUCAACAUCCUGAUCCUGGAGGCCAUUGAGAACCAUAACCUCGCUGACACGGUGCUCAAGAUCACAGACUUCGGCCUUGCCCGAGAGUGGCACAAGACGACCAAAAUGAGUGCCGCGGGGACCUACGCCUGGAUGGCCCCCGAGGUUAUCCGCCUCUCCCUCUUCUCCAAAAGCAGCGAUGUCUGGAGCUUCGGGGUGCUGCUCUGGGAGCUGCUGACCGGGGAGGUCCCCUACCGAGAAAUCGACGCCUUGGCCGUGGCUUACGGUGUGGCUAUGAACAAGCUGACUCUACCCAUCCCCUCCACCUGCCCCGAGCCCUUUGCCCGCCUACUGGAGGGUGAGCCAGGGCCCCGUGGAGAGGAAUGCUGGGACCCAGACCCUCAUGGGCGACCAGAUUUUGGCAGCAUCCUGAAGCAGCUGGAAGUCAUUGAACAGUCAGCCCUGUUCCAGAUGCCACUGGAGUCCUUCCACUCGCUGCAGGAAGACUGGAAGCUGGAGAUCCAGCACAUGUUCGAUGACCUUCGGACCAAGGAGAAGGAGUUGCGCAGCCGGGAAGAGGAGCUCCUGCGAGCCGCGCAGGAGCAGCGUUUUCAGGAGGAGCAGUUGCGGCGACGGGAGCAGGAGCUGGCAGAGCGAGAGAUGGACAUCGUAGAACGCGAGCUGCACCUGCUCAUGAGCCAACUGAGCCAGGAGAAGCCCAGGGUCCGCAAACGCAAGGGCAACUUCAAGCGCAGCCGCUUGCUCAAGCUGCGGGAAGGCAGCAGCCACAUCAGCCUGCCCUCCGGAUUUGAACAUAAGAUCACCGUCCAGGCCUCUCCCACCCUGGACAAGAGGAAAGGAUCCGAUGGGGCCAGCCCUCCUGCCAGCCCCAGCAUCAUCCCCCGGUUGAGGGCCAUUCGCUUGACCCCCAUGGACUGUGGCGGCAGCAGUGGCAGCGGGACAUGGAGCCGAAGUGGGCCACCAAAGAAAGAAGAACUGGUUGGGGGCAAGAAGAAGGGCAGGACAUGGGGCCCCAGUUCCACUUUGCAGAAGGAGCGGGCUGGAGGAGAGGAGAGGCUCAAGGCCCUGGGGGAAGGAAGCAAGCAGUGGUCCUCAAGCGCCCCAAACCUGGGCAAAUCCCCCAAGCACACCCCCAUGGCCCCAGGCUUUGCGAGCCUCAAUGAGAUGGAAGAGUUUGCGGAGGCAGAUGAAGGCAACAGCGUGCCCCCUUCCCCCUACUCCACCCCGUCCUACCUCAAGGUGCCUCUACCCGCCGAGCCCUCUCCUUGCGCGCAGGCGCCCUGGGAGCCGCCGGCUGCGACCCCCUCCCGGCCAGGACACGGAGCUCGUAGGCGCUGCGACCUGGCGCUGCUGGGCUGCGCCACGCUCCUGGGCGCCGUGGGCCUGGGCGCCAAUGUGGCCGAGGCGCGUGCCGGGGACGGUGAGGAGCAGCGGCGCUGGCUGGACGGCCUCUUCUUCCCGCGUCCUGGCCGCUUCCCUCGGGGUCUAAGCCCGACCGGGCGCCCCGGGAGUCGCCACGAGGACACAGCCCCCGGCCUGGGCCUGGCGCCCUCGGCCACCCUGGUGUCCCUGUCUUCUGUGUCAGAUUGCAACUCGACGCGUUCCUUGUUGCGCUCCGACAGCGACGAGGCUGCGCCCGCCGUGCCCUCCCCGCCGCCCUCUCCCCCCGCGUCCUCACCCAGCACUAACCCCCUUGUGGACGUGGAGCUGGAGAGCUUCAAGAAGGACCCCCGCCAAUCGCUCACGCCCACCCACGUCACGGCCGCGCACGCUGUGAGCCGGGGACACAGGCGGACACCAUCGGACGGGGCGCUGAGGCAGCGAGAGCCUCUGGAGCUCACUCGCCACGGUCCUCGGGACCCCCUUGAUUUCCCUCGACUGCCCGACCCUCAGGCCUUGUUCCCCACCCGUCGCAGGCCCCUGGAGUUCCCUGGCCGUCCCACCACCCUCACCUUUGCCCCAAGACCCCGGCCAGCUGCCAGCCGCCCCCGUCUGGACCCCUGGAAACUGGUCUCCUUUGGCCGGACAUUCAGCAUCUCGCCUCCCAGCAGGCCAGACACUCCAGAGAGCCCUGGCCCCCCCAGUGCGCAGCCCACACUGCUGGACAUGGACAUGGAGGGCCAGAGCCAGGACAACACAGUGCCCCUGUGUGGGACCUAUGGCUCUCACUGAGACCUGCCCACCACCACCCGCCUGGGCAGCCAUGAAUGUAGCGCCCCAGGCCCCGCCACAGCCCACCAUGCCCCAAGACCUCUGGAUUUCUGAGAAAGAGAGCCCGGCAUGGGGCCCCUGCUUCGUUCCCACAAUAACACCACACAAGGAGACAGACACCAGUGAGGGCGCUUUACCAGUAAGUAAACACAUGGGCCAAGGGGAGUCGCCUGCUGAGGUCGGAGGGAACAAGGCAGAGGCUGCCCUUUGACCUCAGCCCAGGACAUCGCUGCGAGCUGGGCCUCCAGCCCCACUGUUGCUGUCUUCCCGCGGGAGGCUGCAGCGGUUCAUCUUCAGCUGGGUCAGCUGGAUGUAGCGGAGAACGUUGGUGUCUGCAG
Peromyscus leucopus (white-footed mouse) is the source of this 3751-nucleotide RNA transcript. It is a transcript of the gene named mitogen-activated protein kinase kinase kinase 10, with no coding region annotated. The transcript is spliced from 11 exons. The record is from RefSeq and is a predicted model, not a curated record. NCBI's taxonomy places the organism in Eukaryota, Metazoa, Chordata, Mammalia, Rodentia, Cricetidae.